Molecule: ribosomal RNA, 738 nt
Filed under: Klebsiella sp.
Lineage: Bacteria; Pseudomonadati; Pseudomonadota; Gammaproteobacteria; Enterobacterales; Enterobacteriaceae
Description: bacterial SSU rRNA
Source: RNAcentral
CUGGCUCAGAUUGAACGCUGGCGGCAGGCCUAACACAUGCAAGUCGAGCGGUAGCACAGAGAGCUUGCUCUCGGGUGACGAGCGGCGGACGGGUGAGUAAUGUCUGGGAAACUGCCUGAUGGAGGGGGAUAACUACUGGAAACGGUAGCUAAUACCGCAUAACGUCGCAAGACCAAAGUGGGGGACCUUCGGGCCUCAUGCCAUCAGAUGUGCCCAGAUGGGAUUAGCUAGUAGGUGGGGUAACGGCUCACCUAGGCGACGAUCCCUAGCUGGUCUGAGAGGAUGACCAGCCACACUGGAACUGAGACACGGUCCAGACUCCUACGGGAGGCAGCAGUGGGGAAUAUUGCACAAUGGGCGCAAGCCUGAUGCAGCCAUGCCGCGUGUWUGAAGAAGGCCUUCGGGUUGUAAAGYACUUUCAGCGGGGAGGAAGGCGAUAAGGUUAAUAACCUUGUCGAUUGACGUUACCCGCAGAAGAAGCACCGGCUAACUCCGUGCCAGCAGCCGCGGUAAUACGGAGGGUGCAAGCGUUAAUCGGAAUUACUGGGCGUAAAGCGCACGCAGGCGGUCUGUCAAGUCGGAUGUGAAAUCCCCGGGCUCAACCUGGGAACUGCAUUCGAAACUGGCAGGCUAGAGUCUUGUAGAGGGGGGUAGAAUUCCAGGUGUAGCGGUGAAAUGCGUAGAGAUCUGGAGGAAUACCGGUGGCGAAGGCGGCCCCCUGGACAAAGACUGACGCUC